RNAcentral lists this unclassified non-coding RNA (272 nucleotides) under plant metagenome. RNAcentral describes it as "partial contains small subunit ribosomal RNA, internal transcribed spacer 1, and 5.8S ribosomal RNA". The record is from RNAcentral.
UUUCCGUAGGUGAACCUGCGGAAGGAUCAUUAAUGAGUUGUCAUGGGGUUCGAUGCUGGCAGCCAGUUUUUGGAUGCAUGUGCUUGCCCUAACAAUCAUCUUCUUCCAAACACCUGUGCACAUUUUUGAGGGAGUCUUGAGUUGGUUGCCGCUCUUGGGUGAUUUUCUCACAUUCCCUUAAAUCAUUAUACGCUAUUAACGAUGUUGAACGUGCUCUGUGCCGCAAGGCCAUUAAUAUAAUACAACUUUUAACAACGGAUCUCUUGGCUCUC